This 60-nucleotide microRNA precursor is filed under the name Scyliorhinus torazame (cloudy catshark). Its description in RNAcentral is "Sto-Mir-203-v1_pre stem-loop". It matches the Rfam family "mir-203 microRNA precursor family", at positions 14 to 73 of the family's 80-position model. Lineage: Eukaryota; Metazoa; Chordata; Chondrichthyes; Carcharhiniformes; Scyliorhinidae. The record is from RNAcentral.
AGUGGUUCUAAACAGUUCAACAGUUCUCUAUCGACAUUGUGAAAUGUUUAGGACCACUUG